CAAAAUAUAGCUUAAUCAAAAGCAUUCAGCUUACACCUGAAAGAUGUACACUAAAACAGGACUAUUUUGA
RNAcentral lists this transfer RNA (70 nucleotides) under Cuora galbinifrons (flowerback box turtle). RNAcentral describes it as "tRNA-Val". It matches the Rfam family "tRNA". From Rfam's summary of the family: Transfer RNA (tRNA) molecules are approximately 80 nucleotides in length. Their secondary structure includes four short double-helical elements and three loops (D, anti-codon, and T loops). Further hydrogen bonds mediate the characteristic L-shaped molecular structure. tRNAs have two regions of fundamental functional importance: the anti-codon, which is responsible for specific mRNA codon recognition, and the 3' end, to which the tRNAs corresponding amino acid is attached (by aminoacyl-tRNA synthetases). tRNAs cope with the degeneracy of the genetic code in two manners: having more than one tRNA (with a specific anti-codon) for a particular amino acid; and 'wobble' base-pairing, i.e. permitting non-standard base-pairing at the 3rd anti-codon position. Lineage: Eukaryota; Metazoa; Chordata; Testudines; Geoemydidae. The record is from RNAcentral.